Molecule: ribosomal RNA, 530 nt
Filed under: Nerita tessellata
Lineage: Eukaryota; Metazoa; Mollusca; Gastropoda; Cycloneritida; Neritidae
Description: partial 16S ribosomal RNA
Rfam family: Bacterial large subunit ribosomal RNA
Source: RNAcentral
UAAAAACAUGUCUCUUAGAAACUAUUAAGAGUCAGGCCUGCCCAGUGAUCACUUUAACGGCCGCGGUACCCUGACCGUGCAAAGGUAGCAUAAUCAUUUGCCUUUUAAUUGGAGGCUAGUAUGAAUGGUCUGACGAGAGUAAAACUGUCUCACAUAUAUUCAAUAGAAAUUAACCUAAAGGUGCAAAGGCCUUUAUCUAAUAAAAAGACGAGAAGACCCUGUUGAGCUUUAAUCUUAAUGAGUAUUUUUUUUAUAUUUAUAAAUUUACUCUACUCACUAAGGAUUUUAAUUGGGGCGAUUAAGGAACAAGCACAAGCUUCCUGAAUUUAACUAAAAAUGUUCAUAAAUUAAAUCGAUCCAGCAAUGUUGAUCAACAAAAUGAGUUACCACAGGGAUAACAGCAUAAUUCUCCUUGAGAGCCCAUAUCGAAAGGAGAGAUUGUGACCUCGAUGUUGGACUAGGGUAACUAGAAGGUGCAGCCGCUUUCUUGUUCUGGUCUGUUCGACCAGUAAUUCCCUACGUGAUCUGAG